CCUACGGGUGGCAGCAGUGAGGAAUAUUGGUCAAUGGUCGGGAGACUGAACCAGCCAAGCCGCGUGAGGGAUGAAGGUACAGAGUAUCGUAAACCUCUUUUGUCAGGGAACAAAGGCGGGGACGUGUCCCCGGAUGAGUGUACCUGAAGAAAAAGCAUCGGCUAACUCCGUGCCAGCAGCCGCGGUAAUACGGAGGAUGCGAGCGUUAUCCGGAUUUAUUGGGUUUAAAGGGUGCGUAGGCGGGUUAUCAAGUCAGCGGUAAAUCGUGGAGGUAAACUCCAUCCAGCCGUUGAAACUGAUGAUCUUGAGUGGGCGAGAAGUAUGCGGAAUGCGUGGUGUAGCGGUGAAAUGCAUAGAUAUCACGCAGAACUCCGAUUGCGAAGGCAGCAUACCGGCGCCCGACUGACGCUGAAGCACGAAAGCGUGGGUAUCGAACAGGAUUAGAUACCCUAGUAGUC
This 458-nucleotide ribosomal RNA is filed under the name uncultured bacterium. RNAcentral's name for it is "partial 16S ribosomal RNA". It matches the Rfam family "Bacterial small subunit ribosomal RNA", at positions 338 to 795 of the family's 1533-position model. The record is from RNAcentral.